RNAcentral lists this ribosomal RNA (257 nucleotides) under uncultured bacterium. RNAcentral describes it as "partial small subunit ribosomal RNA". It matches the Rfam family "Bacterial small subunit ribosomal RNA", at positions 26 to 285 of the family's 1533-position model. The record is from RNAcentral.
AGAAUGAACGCUGGCGGCGUGCCUAAGACAUGCAAGUCGCACGAGAAAGUAGCAAUAUGAGUAAAGUGGCGCACGGGUGAGUAAUAUUUAGGUAAUAUGCCUUUCCGCGGGGAAUAACUAGGCGAAAGCUUAGCUAAUACCGCAUGAUCCGAAGGAGACUCUGGUCUUUUUCGGUAAAGCCUUACGGCGCGGAAUGAGUAGCCUGAAUCCCAUUAGCUAGUUGGUAAGGUAACGGCUUACCAAGGCAUUGAUGGGUA